This 29-nucleotide non-coding RNA is filed under the name Cricetulus griseus (Chinese hamster). The record is from RNAcentral. Lineage: Eukaryota; Metazoa; Chordata; Mammalia; Rodentia; Cricetidae.
AAUCUGAAGAGACUGUUAACUGCACUAGG